This 73-nucleotide unclassified non-coding RNA is filed under the name Burkholderia cenocepacia. Its description in RNAcentral is "Leu_leader". The record is from RNAcentral. Lineage: Bacteria; Pseudomonadati; Pseudomonadota; Betaproteobacteria; Burkholderiales; Burkholderiaceae.
AAAGGCCGGCCAAUCGAUUAUCGAUUGGCCGGCCACAAAAAAAGAAACCCGGCGCAAAUGCGCCGGGUUUCUU